This is a long non-coding RNA of Solenopsis invicta (red fire ant), 2719 nucleotides long. RefSeq lists it as uncharacterized. NCBI's taxonomy places the organism in Eukaryota, Metazoa, Arthropoda, Insecta, Hymenoptera, Formicidae. The record is from RefSeq and is a predicted model, not a curated record. The transcript is spliced from 7 exons.
ACUCGAUCGCAUACUUGUAUCAAUCAGAUUGACGACGAGAACCACAUGAGAGAAAACAGAAGGGAUAUGUACGCACUACAAGCUUUCGAGCCGCUUGAGCUGGCUGCCUGGGCCCGAGCGGCUGCGCGCGCAUUCUCCCCACCACUCGCUUACGGCGUGAGCGUCGCCACUAGUCAGAGAUGGCUGGCUCGCCGCCCUCACCGGCCGUACGGUAGCUGUGGGUAGGUGAGUGUAUGUGGAGGGGAUGGAUGCUCCGUCUACAAAUCGACAACUGAAAACUUUGGAGCAUAUUUUCGACUAUCGGGAGUGAUCGAAUCAGGUGACGAUUAAUUUAUCCGUUGGUCUCUUGCGUUAGCCGCGAUGUACAUACGACGCAAUCGGUCGGGUCGCGAAACUGCGUAGCGAAGCUUCUGGAACCGGCGCGGCGUACGGCAUGAAGUUGCCCCUUCAUUUCGUAGGUGUUUCGUAGGCGACGUGCAGUGCAACGUAACCGAAAGUCGCGAGUGUAUCGGACGAAGGAAAGUGUAGCCGUGCCCUUGCGUGUUCUCCCGUAUUUACCCUUGGCACAGUAAGUUUCGGUGAUCGCGUCGCGUUGAUUAAUCCGCGGGAUGCGUAACGAUUGGCGUUGGGCCGAUUUGCGUUUGAUUUUCGAUGUGAGAGAGAGAGAGAGAGACGAGCGAGCGCCGGGAAAGAGACGGCGUUCGCUCUUCACACGGCGCCGGAGCAAUCGACGACGGUGGACGUGCAUCGUCGGAUGUGUAAAUAUUUACGGACUGAUUCGAAGACGAGUUCGAAAGUAUUGUGCGAGUGUUUAGAGAAAGACUAGUAUAUCCGUUGGUCUCUCGUGAUGUGCAAUGUAAUCGGUCGAGUCGCGAAACGGCGCAUCGAAGCUUCUCGACCGGCGUGAACUUGCCGCUUCAUUUCGUACGCGUCGCGCGAUGUAACCGAAAAUCGCAAGUAUGUCGGAAGGGAAGUAUGGCCGUGUCCUUGCGUGUCUUUCCGUAUUUACUUCCGGCACAAUAAGUUUCGGGGAUCGGUGAUCGCGUCGCCUUGAUUAAUCCGCGGGAUGCGUGGCGAUUGGCGUUUCUCGGGUCGAUUUGCGUGAUUUGAGACGAGAGUGUGACGAGCGAGCGUUGGGAAGACGCGACGUCGGGGCAGUCGAAAAUCACGAUACAUCGUCAGGUGUGUAAAUUAUUUUCGGAGUUCGGAAGUGUUGUGUGAGUGUUCAACGAAGGACCCCAGUGUAUCUGAGAGGAAGAGGAGGCCUGGGAGGCAUCAGGCGACGACGGAACAACCAUGGGAUCAACAUAGUCUUCGAUGCUGUUUGAUUUCCGCUGCUGCGCAUCGUAUCGAUAUUUCUCGAGAGAUCCAACGACGAAAAGCCAACAUCCGUCGCCGAUCUAUAAUAAAAUAAACGAACCGCAGCCGGUUCGUCGCGUCGCGCGUUUAUUUCGGGAGUGCCGUUUAAGUUAUUGGACUAAUAGACUUUUCAAUAACUCCAAUUUGAUAGAAUCCUAAUUCGAGGGCCGGGAAUCGCACCCCCGCUGCUUGGUAGUGGAUAUCUCCUCACUACUCGCCGACCGGGGUGCUGAAUCCACGGACUCCCUCCGAAUGGGAAGUCAUAUCAUGGAUUUUAUAAACCCGAGUACCGCAGUGUUGCGCGAAAGACUUUUAUAAAUAAUUGGUCCACGCGCGUAAAUUUAAGAUAUUCGCGAGUGUUCCGCGUGUGCAACAAGAGAAAGAGGAGCUUGACAACCUAGAGGGUUCUGAGAGGAGGAGGAGGCCUAGGAGGCAUCAUGCGACGGCGGAGCACCCUCAAGGUGGACGGUACCAUCGACGAAUAUCGAGGUGCUCUAUCAUGGUACGAGAGAGUUGCGGAACAGCUGGAUCCUCGCGAGGCUUCUUUGAUACGCGGCAACGUCAAUUGACAAAAAACGACAGCACCACCAUCGCUACCCUUGACAACGAUCGUUAACUCUUGUUCUGCGAUGACCUCGAGCCAUUUGCGCUUUAGCCGUCGUCCGUGCACGCCGACUGAGUCAACGUGGCGUUACAACUCCGUCGCUGCGCGUCGUGAUGUCGCGCCAGAGAGAUUUCAUUUUUGAGCGGGAGAAUACUCGAAGACCCUCUCGGACGUACUAGGAAAUCGAUAGCCACAUUUUUCGACAAAUUGGUGAGUCUCACGUUUUUCACGUUUCUUCUAUUCCGAUACGCUCCACUUGAAACCACUUGAAGUUUCUGUUGCACGGGAUUUCGACAAUGUAGGUGGGUUUAGAUUCAAAAGGUCGUGAUUUUCGGCGCGAUUUCGUGUUUCGUGGUUCGCCCCAGUCUAAUGAUCCAUGUUCCUCGAGGACGUCGAAGCUGAGUGUGGCUAAGGAGGUCCUUGUUCCUUGCCGAAGUUCCUCUCGGAGUCCCACCUUAAAGACUGAAGUGGUACACAAUAUCGUCGCCGUGGGGUCAACGACACCCCCACUGUCGCUUCCUACUUUUUUUUUCUCAGUCGACCGCCCUCUCGCGCGCCCGCUCGACGGAUCCUUUCUUCAAUUAAAGCUGAAGGAAUCGACGGAGAGAUGAUUGAACAUUGUGCGCCACAAUGCAGUAGCAUGUACAGGCCCGUUCUCCGCGUUCAGUGAGAGUAUGUAGUACAUAGGAGCAACUGGACCAUGAUUGACGAUGUGACGUUUCCCUCUCCUCUCCUCCUCCUCGUCUCUUCGACCUU